This 468-nucleotide ribosomal RNA is filed under the name uncultured bacterium. RNAcentral's name for it is "partial 16S ribosomal RNA". It matches the Rfam family "Bacterial small subunit ribosomal RNA", at positions 28 to 507 of the family's 1533-position model. The record is from RNAcentral.
GACGAACGCUGGCGGCGUGCUUAACACAUGCAAGUCGAACGGAAAGGCCCUGCUUUUGUGGGGUGCUCGAGUGGCGAACGGGUGAGUAACACGUGAGUAACCUGCCCUUGACUUUGGGAUAACUUCAGGAAACUGGGGCUAAUACCGGAUAGGAGCUCCUGCUGCAUGGUGGGGGUUGGAAAGUUUCGGCGGUUGGGGAUGGACUCGCGGCUUAUCAGCUUGUUGGUGGGGUAGUGGCUUACCAAGGCUUUGACGGGUAGCCGGCCUGAGAGGGUGACCGGCAACAUUGGGACUGAGAGACGGCACAGACUCCUACGGGAGGAAGCAGUGGGGAAUAUUGCACAAUGGGCGGAAGCCUGAUGCAGCAAAGCCGCGUGCGGGAUGACGGCCUUCGGGUUGAAAACCGCUUUCGAAUGUGACGAAGCGUGAGUGACGGUAAUGGGUAAAGAAGCACCGGCUAACUACGUG